This 54-nucleotide transfer RNA is filed under the name Unionicola parkeri. Its description in RNAcentral is "tRNA-Ser". Lineage: Eukaryota; Metazoa; Arthropoda; Arachnida; Trombidiformes; Unionicolidae. The record is from RNAcentral.
AACUUUCUUUUUCCUUAUCUUGAAAAUAAGUAUCAGAGAUCCUCUAGAAAGUUU